RNAcentral lists this unclassified non-coding RNA (363 nucleotides) under uncultured Gammaproteobacteria bacterium. RNAcentral's name for it is "contains 16S-23S intergenic spacer region". The record is from RNAcentral. Lineage: Bacteria; Pseudomonadati; Pseudomonadota; Gammaproteobacteria.
UCCGGUUUAGUACCGGCAGUCGCGCUAGACAUGGUAACUAGCGCCGAGGGUUGCGCUCGUUGCGGGACUUAACCCAACAUCUCACGACACGAGCUGACGACAGCCAUGCAGCACCUGUGUUACGGUUCUCUUUCGAACACUUCCACCUCUCAGCAGAAUUCCGUACAUGUCAAGGGUAGGUAAGGUUUUUCGCGUUGCAUCGAAUUAAUCCACAUCAUCCACCGCUUGUGCGGGUCCCCGUCAAUUCCUUUGAGUUUUAAUCUUGCGACCGUACUCCCCAGGCGGUCUACUUCACGCGUUAGCUGCGUUACCAAGUCAAUUAAGACCCGACAACUAGUAGACAUCGUUUAGGGCGUGGACUAC